Molecule: small RNA, 551 nt
Filed under: Pongo abelii (Sumatran orangutan)
Lineage: Eukaryota; Metazoa; Chordata; Mammalia; Primates; Hominidae
Description: retained intron
Source: RNAcentral
AUGCGCGACUCCGAGCUGGCCAAAGAAGUUCUUACCCUUUGUGAGGCCCGGGAUGGGAGGCGCCCGGUUCCCCCAGGGACAGCUCCAAGCGGUAGGGACAGACAUCUGAGGACCCAGCCUCAGGGAUGCUGUCCCCGGGCUUCCAGGCUCCAGCGCCGUAGGACUGAGGCAGACUCCACGGUGAGAAAGAGACCCGACCUAACCCAGGCCUUUCAUCAGAGCCCAGGAGGGAAGGCAGGAAGUGGGACCACGAGGCCCGGGGGGCUUCUAACUCGUCUGGCCAGGGAGAUCUGAAUUGGGGUGAAGAGCAGAAUCUCCAGAACCAGGAGGAGGUGGUGAUCAUGGAGACAGAUUUGGCUGAAAUGCCUGAGAAAGGAGGUGAGAAUUGCGGACGUGUUGAACUUGUGGCGUGGAAGGACGAAAUUCCUGCUCCUGAAGGGAAAACGGUUGGCUCAGGGGAGGUGGCUCUUGGCUGGCUGUCUCCAUUGUCUUGGGGAUGGGUGGGCUUUUUAAGUGAGACUGAAGGGCUUGGUAUGGGAGCACCGCCCUUU